Molecule: small RNA, 4505 nt
Filed under: Pan troglodytes (chimpanzee)
Lineage: Eukaryota; Metazoa; Chordata; Mammalia; Primates; Hominidae
Description: retained intron
Source: RNAcentral
AGAUUGCUCAUGUAACUCUUGAGUUUACAUGUAAUCAACAUAUGCUCAUUGAAAACGGGAUUGCUUCAAGAGGACUUUGAGUCCAGGGUGAUUAGGUAAGUAAAAGAUGUAAAAAGGUAGAAAAUUUUCGUCACUUGAGUCUAAAUAAUUGUUCUUAUAAGUGCCAACGCCUGUUUCUGUUAGGCUGAGAAGAUCAAAGGAUUUGGCUCUUUUAACAUAUAGAAACCUCUAGCUUCAGCUAGAAUUUAGGCCUUUAGUAAUAGCCCUAAUUUUUAUGAAGCCAUUUUGUUCCAGUGAUCUUUUGGUGAGAGAUGCUAUGUAAGUACUAUUCUUCAGAAUUAGGUGUCUUUUUACCCUAAUGAAAUAAUUUAGAUUGCUUUUGAUACAGGUAAAACAAAUAUCCUGGCUUCCAUAAUUGUAGAAAAAACUUCAUAUAGGAAUCCUUUGUUGUAUCAAAGUAGCACCUGAUGGGAAUGAACAGACAGGAAUGGAUGAAGGAUAGCAGUUUGCGUUCCAUUUCAAGCCUAUGGGCUCACACAUUUAUUCAGAUAAGAAGACCACCUUUCACUAGAUAAACUCCAACAGUAUUCAUGCAUACUUUAGAAUGGCAUGUAGGAAAUGUUUGAUAGGUACAUGAUGUAUUCACUUCAGGUCACUAAUGUAAUACAGGGUCGUGCUUCUUAGUGUUGACAGAUCACCUAUGGUUCUCCAAAAUGAACAUUCUAGUACAGGAGGUCUAGGGAGGAACCUGAGAGUAUACUAAUGCCUAGGAACUUUCUCUGGAGUGGCAAGAGCAGUGGGAAGAAUUAUAUCAAUAGCUACAGAAAUAAGGGAGUAAGAACAAGUCAUUUCUCUAGUGAAUUAUUCUUCACUUUACUGAGAUAAACAUACAUGUUAAUGAGCUUGAGUUUUCCCAAAAGUAUAAUUCUUCUGGUUCUUCUAAGAAAAUGGCACUCCCUGGAAACAAGGAAGAACCAAAUUUAUUCGCCUUUGUAGCAGUUGGGAAAGUUAGUGCUAGGAAGUCUUCUUGAUUUAUAGUAGGCUUUAAUCUGGAUAUUGCUGGUAAAAGUUUAUUCUAAAACCUGAACUCUGGAUAAGUAAUACAAAAAGCUUCUCAACCUUCCAAGCAAAAUUGAGAGCUUUCAGGUUAUGUGAGUAAUUUGGUCUCUUGGGUGCUUAAUUCAUUCCUUGAAGCUCAUUUUUGUGAUCUCUUCCAAGAUUGCAUUUGCUUGGAGGUAGGGAGUUAGACAAGAUGGUAUGAGGUCCCUAAAUUUUGACUUUCCAAGCAAAAUUGGACAGUGGUUCCUUAAUAGCUAACAUCCUCGUUUCUUCCUAAGGCUACUCAUGUUUCAUAUAUAGUAGCCUUCCCAAAAUCCCAUCCCCCCGCCCCCCCCCCCCCCCCCCCCAUGUAGAGAGAACGAACCUGUCUCCCUUCCUGUACAGAGUACGGGAUCCUUCAACUUUCACACAGGCUGCAGUGUUGGCCACACAUUUAGCUCAGCUUUUUUUUUUAGCCUUAAAGUGAUGUCAGCUGCAUCUGUCGCUGGGUUGCACCUUGUGGAUUUAGUUUGCAUGAAUUUUCUCAGCUUAAACAAAGUUAACAUUGAAUAGAGUAAGCUUACCAUAAAGGGCUUAAUAAAUGCCAUGCAUGUCUACAUUCUGUGUGGAAAUUGAUCUAGUCAGGUUGAUAUUUAACACUGUAGGUUCUUUGUUUAGUUAAUUUAUAUGAAAUAAUGGUUACCAUUUAACUCUUUAGGUUAGCUUUGUACAUAGCAUCUCACUUUGCACAACAACCCUGCAAGGUAAGUAUUGUUGUUCUUGUGCUACAAAUGAAGUUGACUGAGAGGAGGAGUACCACGUCCAAGGUCACACAGCUAUUAAAUGGCAGAGCUGGGAUACUGGCCUGUGACUCAGAACUUGAUGCUUUCCCCCCACGCCAUGCAUGCCAGGUUGCCCUUCCUUUCAGAAAUGGUGGAAGUCCUGCAAAAUGCAAUAAACUGAAGUAACGUAGCUUCUAUUAAUACAAAGUAAAUAACUCAGAUUUACUGGAUUUUAAACCUUAUUCCUUGGGUAAACAAUCUGUGACUGACUUCACACCAAAUAUUUGUUGGGGGAGGAUUUGGACUUUAGGGAUAAAAGUGGAUACAUUUUUUAUUUUACAAACUCUGUAUUUGAACUUAAUUAUUGGCUCUUCAAUUUUAUGUUACCAGCUUUUUUUUUUUUUAAAUGAAUUUGAUUUACAUCGUGGUCAAAUAAAAAUUGUUGAGCAGGGAAAAUAAACUACUUUCUGGAUUCCUUCCCGAAUUUUCUCAUGUUGUGCCCUAGAGAAAAUGUGUUCCACAUUAAGGUGUUACUUUUCCCAGGGGUGUGUUCAUUUAAAAAGAAUGAAGCCAGGCAAUGUUUAUUUUUCUUUUACCUACAAAUAAAUGAAUGGAUUAAUCAUUGUAUACUUGACUCCCAUGUUGGUAGGGAUUUUAGAUAGGAGGCUAUUUCUUGUCUGUGCUUCUCAAUACCCCAUAAGCAGUUGCUUCAUGGAUGUAUAUACUAAUAAGCAGUGAAAGAAAGUGCGUGUUCAAAGAAUACAACAAGGAGUCUGGAUAUUUUGCAAUCAUCUUUAUAUAUUACGGUGCUCUGAAUUAAAAGCUAAAAGUUACUGGGUAUGUCUGACACCUUAGUGCUUUAUCUUGGUUCUACUAAUUUUGUGUGCCCCACUCCCACUUAACCCUAGCCUCAUUCCUUAUCUGUAAGAUAGGGGAUAAUACCAUUGUAAGGUUAUUAUUAAGAUUGAAUAAGGAUAAAAUUUAUAAUGGGUUUUAGCAAAUGGCAGAAAAUAUUUUCUGAAGAAAACCAAGUGCUAUUAAAAAAACAUCACAAGCCUUGGGCUUACUUUGGGAUUUUAAAAGCCAAGAGAAAAUGGAUGGCUGAACUUUCAAACAUUUGGUAAAUAUUAUAGUAUUGUAGUUCAGAGCUCUGGAUUCUUUGCAUUUUGCCUGCUGGGUGAGAAGGAAUAAAAGCUUGUGCCUUUUUUUUUUUUAAUCACUUUAAUUUCAAAACAAUGUGUUUAACCAUUUGUGGGAGUAAUUUUCAUUUUGUGAGCCUGAAGCAUUUUGAUUCAGUGGGAAUUUCUGGUGAUUUAUAUCUGGAAUAGAAGUGAGCUUAAGUUUAGCUAUUCUAACGUUGAAAAAGGAAGCAAUGUUUCUAUUGGAUUCUAAAGUAUACUUUCAAAAAUAUUCUGAAGUAUUUGUAUAUCUUAAACUCGGAGUUAAGACAGCUUAGCUUUGAAGAUAAGAGAAACUAGAUGGGUGCAUUUUCCAUCCAGAUGUGUUUGUUGCUGGAACUAAAUGAAACAGUACAUGGUAACCCUUGAAAGGUUUUAAACUUGUUUCUGUAACUGCUAAUCUACAUACUCUCAAGUCACUAACCUUCCUCUUUGAUCUCUUUGUAGGCUGACCAACUGACUGAAGAGCAGAUUGCAGAAUUCAAAGAAGCUUUUUCACUAUUUGACAAAGAUGGUGAUGGAACUAUAACAACAAAGGAAUUGGGAACUGUAAUGAGAUCUCUUGGGCAGAAUCCCACAGAAGCAGAGUUACAGGACAUGAUUAAUGAAGUAGAUGCUGAUGGUAAUGGCACAAUUGACUUCCCUGAAUUUCUGACAAUGAUGGCAAGAAAAAUGAAAGACACAGACAGUGAAGAAGAAAUUAGAGAAGCAUUCCGUGUGUUUGAUAAGGAUGGCAAUGGCUAUAUUAGUGCUGCAGAACUUCGCCAUGUGAUGACAAACCUUGGAGAGAAGUUAACAGAUGAAGAAGUUGAUGAAAUGAUCAGGGAAGCAGAUAUUGAUGGUGAUGGUCAAGUAAACUAUGAAGAGUUUGUACAAAUGAUGACAGCAAAGUGAAGACCUUGUACAGAAUGUGUUAAAUUUCUUGUACAAAAUUGUUUAUUUGCCUUUUCUUUGUUUGUAACUUAUCUGUAAAAGGUUUCUCCCUACUGUCAAAAAAAAUAUGCAUGUAUAGUAAUUAGGACUUCAUUCCUCCAUGUUUUCUUCCCUUAUCUUACUGUCAUUGUCCUAAAACCUUAUUUUAGAAAAUUGAUCAAGUAACAUGUUGCAUGUGGCUUACUCUGGAUAUAUCUAAGCCCUUCUGCACAUCUAAACUUAGAUGGAGUUGGUCAAAUGAGGGAACAUCUGGGUUAUGCCUUUUUUAAAGUAGUUUUCUUUAGGAACUGUCAGCAUGUUGUUGUUGAAGUGUGGAGUUGUAACUCUGCGUGGACUAUGGACAGUCAACAAUAUGUACUUAAAAGUUGCACUAUUGCAAAACGGGUGUAUUAUCCAGGUACUCGUACACUAUUUUUUUGUACUGCUGGUCCUGUACCAGAAACAUUUUCUUUUAUUGUUACUUGCUUUUUAAACUUUGUUUAGCCACUUAAAAUCUGCUUAUGGCACAAUUUGCCUCAAAAUCCAUUCCAAGUUGUAUAUUUGUUUUCCAAUAAAAAAAUUACAAUUUACCCAA